AGACACCCUUCUGGGGAAAGGCUUGCUUCAGUGGGGCUUUGGUGCUCACUGAGUCUUCCCCCUGAGUGUGUCCCU
This 75-nucleotide microRNA precursor is filed under the name Myotis lucifugus (little brown bat). RNAcentral's name for it is "mir-9229 microRNA precursor family". It matches the Rfam family "mir-9229 microRNA precursor family". Lineage: Eukaryota; Metazoa; Chordata; Mammalia; Chiroptera; Vespertilionidae. The record is from Rfam by way of RNAcentral.